RNAcentral lists this ribosomal RNA (309 nucleotides) under Triticum aestivum (bread wheat). RNAcentral's name for it is "partial small subunit ribosomal RNA". Lineage: Eukaryota; Viridiplantae; Streptophyta; Magnoliopsida; Poales; Poaceae. The record is from RNAcentral.
AUGAAGACCAGGGGGCCCACACCCUGCUCACGAGGGUGGGGGGCGCCCCCUGGGCACGCCCCCUACCUCGUGGGCCCCUUGGUGGCCCUCCGAUGCCAACUCCAACUCCAUAUAUUGGCUUUCGGGGAGAAAAAAAUCAGAGAGAAGAAAUCAUCGCGUUUUACAAUAUGGAGCCGCCGCCAAGCCCUAAUCUCUCUCGGGAGGGCUGCUCUGGAGUUCGUUCGGGGCUCCGGAGAGGGGGAUUCGUCGCCGUCGUCAUCAUCAACCAUCCUCCAUCACCAAUUUCAUGAUGCUCACCGCCGUGCGUGA